AGCACUGUCAGAAGGCAGAGAGACCAAGAACACAAUGUCUUCUACUUCAGUACACUAGAGUAUUCUUUUGGAAUCUGGAAUGUGGAUAACAUGCUACCAAUGCUAUCCUUGCAUUCUAUUCUUACUUUAGAAAUGUUAAAAAAAAAAAAAAAAGCACAAAAAACAACAACUAAAACAGUUGGAGGAAAUUGCUUCUAGCAUUGUGUAAACAUGUCUUUUUCUGAGCCUCAGUUUCUUCAUUUGUGAAAUACACACAACCUAAAAGACCCAUUUCAGUUCAAUUGUCCUUUUGCCUCUUAGUUCCCAAUCUGAGAGAGCAAAUUAAAUAGCUAGAGCCAUUUCUUAGAAGGGACGUCCUGGGAAGUGCUUUUUCAAAAGAAUUCGCUUUCUUCCUACAGUCACUCCUUGCUCUGUGUUCAAGUCACAAUCAAGGGCAUUACUGUCCAAUCAACUGCACAAGGUAGAACUCAAGUGAUCACCCUUGACAAGUUGCUCUCCUUCAGCCCAAUGAGUAUUAUGUUAGUUGUAGGUUUUUCAUAAUUGCAUUUUAUCAGAUGGAGAAAGUUAAAUUAUGUUCGUAUUUGGCUAAGAGCUUUAUAAUAAUUGGGUAUUGGAUUUUGUCAAAUGCUUUUGACUGUAUCUAUUGACAUAAAAAUGUGUCUUUUGUUAAUACUGUAAAUCACAUUGAGUCAUUUUUGAAAGUUUAACCAAACUAAGAUUUCUGAACUUUUAUGGAUUCAGAUUUUACUAUUUUUUAAAACUAAAUAUGAAAUACUUAAAAGCAGAAAUGAUGACAGCCAUGAUAAUUAGGAAUUAAUUUUUAAGAAGGCUAAAGCAAAAAUGAAUUAUAAUUAACUUUUAAAAUUAAACAUAUAUGCAUCCAUGUUUAAGACUUUUAUUUUAUUACAGAGAAAGCUAAAACGAAGA
Molecule: long non-coding RNA, 927 nt
Filed under: Homo sapiens (human)
Lineage: Eukaryota; Metazoa; Chordata; Mammalia; Primates; Hominidae
Description: non-protein coding lnc-NXPH2-9:1
Source: RNAcentral